GGUUUCCGUAGGUGAACCUGCGGAAGGAUCAUUGUCGAAACCUGCCUAGCAGAACGACCCGUGAACAUGUUUCAACGCUCGGGGACGGGGGGCCUCACGGCUCCUCGCCCCUAUCCCGAGAGGUGAACGUCUUGCUUCUGCCUGACGUGACCCUUCCGGGCGUACCGAACACCGGCGUGUAUUGCGCCAAGGAACUUGAAUGAAAGAGCGUUCCCCCGCCGUCCCGGAGACGGUGUAUGUGCGGGCGGUCCGUCAUCUUCAGUAUGUCUAAACGACUCUCGGCAACGGAUAUCUCGGCUCUCGCAUCGAUGAAGAACGUAGCGAAAUGCGAUACUUGGUGUGAAUUGCAGAAUCCCGUGAACCAUCGAGUCUUUGAACGCAAGUUGCGCCCGAAGCCAUUAGGCCGAGGGCACGUCUGCCUGGGCGUCACACGUCGUUGCCCCCCCCAUCCCCUCCGGGGGAAGGACGGGGCGGAUGAUGGCCCUCCCGUGUGCACCGUCACGCGGUUGGCCCAAAUACCAAGUCCUCGGCGACCUGCGCCGCGACAAUCGGUGGUUGUCAAACCUCGGUGUCCUGUCGCGCGCGCGGUUCGAUCGUGGGGCUUCCUUACAUGUUCGCGUCGUUCACCCGACGCUUUCAACGCGACCCCAGGUCAGGCGGGGUUACCCGCUGAAUUUAAGCAUAUCAAUAAGCGG
Molecule: ribosomal RNA, 695 nt
Filed under: Sibbaldianthe bifurca
Lineage: Eukaryota; Viridiplantae; Streptophyta; Magnoliopsida; Rosales; Rosaceae
Description: eukaryotic LSU rRNA
Rfam family: 5.8S ribosomal RNA (bases 274-429)
Source: RNAcentral